UACGUAGGGUCCGAGCGUUGUCCGGAAUUAUUGGGCGUAAAGGGCUCGUAGGCGGUUUGUCGCGUCGGGCGUGAAAACACGGGGCUUAACCCCGUGCCUGCUUCCGAUACGGGCAGACUAGAGGUAUGCAGGGGAGAACGGAAUUCCUGGUGUAGCGGUGAAAUGCGCAGAUAUCAGGAGGAACACCGGUGGCGAAGGCGGUUCUCUGGGCAUUACCUGACGCUGAGGGGCGAAAGUGUGGGGAGCGAACAGG
This 253-nucleotide ribosomal RNA is filed under the name uncultured bacterium. RNAcentral's name for it is "partial 16S ribosomal RNA". It matches the Rfam family "Bacterial small subunit ribosomal RNA", at positions 524 to 776 of the family's 1533-position model. The record is from RNAcentral.